UCUCUAGCUUUUUCUCUGCGCGACCCCCUGCCCGAGUCUAGUCUGUUCAUGUCUGGGGUAGUACCGUAGUAGCCCCUAGGUGGAGACGCUCCUGCUGACUCUGCCCCAAAAUCACUAGGGGACCUGUCCUCCAUUCCCCCAUCCUUUUCACUGAUUCCUCGUGCUCUUGCCGCCGACCAUCUUCCCCAAGCGCGGCGGCUGCUCCGUCGACCACCACGCUCCACCGCGCCGCCGGGAGCAUUUUUCCCCGCCUGCCACCUUGCCCGCUGUUGUGGCCGUCAGAUCUGCAACGGCAUGGUGGCUGCUCCGCCGUCCCUCUAGUCGUCUCCAUCGUGCUGCCGUGCAGCCUUGCCUCUAGUCGUCUCCACUGCCCCGCCGUUCUGCUGUCGUACCUCCAGUCUUCUAUGUUGUUCCACUGGCCCGCAGGCAAUGGCUGCCAGUGCAACUCGGAUAUUCCCAGAGUUUGGUAGUGGACGGUUCGGAAGAUGUCCUAUCCGCCAUUGUUGUAUGCGCGCGACACCAUCUCCUCCAGCAGCUUCAUGCCCACCGUGCUGGUGCCCGUGGAGAACGCGCGAGCGCGGUGCGCACGAGGCCGGACGCCAUCUCGCGCACCAGCGACGCCAUGGGCGCGGUGAGCGCCUGGAACACAAGGUGGAUGUGGUAGCGGUCGCUGUACAGCGUGCUGGUGAGCCGCUCGCCGAGGCCGACCUGCUAGUGAGCAGCUAGCCGUGAGUUAAUAUUUUCAAAACUGUAAUUAACUCCAGGUGUCUUCGAGUUCAUACAAUCUUGUUUCGAACAAAUACAUGGCAUGUUGUUCCCGGCCAUGCCGUCGAGGAGGAGCAUGGGCUCCGGUGGCGUCGAGCUUAAAGCCAGGCUAGUUUCACUCGAUCGAGGAGGGCGACUCUUCUUCAGAUGCUGGGUUCCAAGUUUCGACGAGGGCGACGAUGAGCUGCUUAGAUACCGUCUUCAUUUUGGCGACGACGCGUCCGAAACAUCAUGCAGCGACGGGUCAGCGCUUGGCUCGUUUGAUUCUGCUUUGGCCGGCAGCAAUUUCUCGUUAGUUAGCAGUUACGCGCGAAUGGUGGCAAUUUGCUAUGUAACAACGUCAGGUUGUUCUGUUUGAAGCCAUUUAUGGGUUCAUUUUUAUCGACAGGAGCUUUUGCCCAUCCUUUUGUCAUUUUUUUCUCGAUCUUUUAUUUGGUAGCGAUCUAGUUCUGUAAAUGAAAUACUGGAAGAUUCCUAUUCUCUA
Molecule: long non-coding RNA, 1249 nt
Organism: Lolium perenne
Lineage: Eukaryota; Viridiplantae; Streptophyta; Magnoliopsida; Poales; Poaceae
Source: RefSeq, a predicted model, not a curated record